RNAcentral lists this ribosomal RNA (500 nucleotides) under uncultured Glomeromycotina. RNAcentral describes it as "partial small subunit ribosomal RNA". It matches the Rfam family "Eukaryotic small subunit ribosomal RNA", at positions 591 to 1092 of the family's 1831-position model. The record is from RNAcentral. Lineage: Eukaryota; Fungi; Glomeromycota.
CCAAUAGCGUAUAUUAAAGUUGUUGCAGUUAAAAAGCUCGUAGUUGAAUUUCGGGAUCGACGGGUCGGUCGCGCCUCUGGUGUGUACUGGCCCUGUCGGUUUCUCCCUUCUGACGAACUGCGAUGUCAUUAAUUUGGUGUCGUAGGGAAUCAGGACUGUUACUUUGAAGAAAUUAGAGUGUUUAAAGCAGGCAUUCGCUUGAAUACAUUAGCAUGGAAUAAUGAAAUAGGACGUUUGAUCUUAUUUUGUUGGUUUCUAAGAUCGACGUAAUGAUUAAUAGGGAUAGUUGGGGGCAUUAGUAUUCAAUUGUCAGAGGUGAAAUUCUUGGAUUUAUUGAAGACUAACUACUGCGAAAGCAUUUGCCAAGGAUGUUUUCAUUAAUCAAGAACGAAAGUUAGGGGAUCGAAGACGAUCAGAUACCGUCGUAGUCUUAACCAUAAACUAUGCCGACUAGGGAUCGGAUGAUGUUAAUUUUUUAAUGACUCAUUCGGCGCCUUACG